CCUAAUAGGAAAUUUAAGAGCAUAUGGUGGAUGCCUUGGCUUCUGAGAAGCGAUGAAGGACGUUGUGUAGCGACGAUAAUUUCGGGGAGCUGCCGAACAAGCUUUGAUCCGAAAGUCUCCGAAUGAGGAAACUCCAUCGAGAGCGAUCUCGAUGACCCUAGUCUAAGAUUAGGGAGCGCACCCUGGGAAGUAAAACAUUUCAGUACCAGGAGGAAGAGAAAACAAAAUAUGCGUAUGCAUAUAACAUUUCCUUAGUAGUGGCGAGCGAAAGGGAAACAGCCCAAACUCAGUCUUAAUCGUGUGGUGUGUAGCAAUACAUCUCACGCGAUUAAGACUGGGGGUAGUAAGAUGGAGACGUAACCGUUUACGGUUGGAAAAGUCAAAAAAUGUUUCGUUAGCAGAAUGUGCUGGAAAGCACAGCCCUAGAGAGUGAUAGCCUCUUAUGCGAAAAUGAAACAUCUUUUCUGUCUCUAUUCUUGAGUACCUCAGGACACGAAUAGCCUGAGGGAAUCUGCCGGAACUAACCGGUAAGGCUAAAUAUUCCAGAAGACCGAUAGUGAACUAGUACCGUGAGGGAAAGGUGAAAAGCAGCCCGGUGAGGGCGGUGAAAUAGAACUGAAACCAUAUGCUUACAAGGAGUCGGAGCGGACUGUCGCAAGACAUGUUCCGUCACGGCGUGCCUAUUGAAGAAUGAGCCAACGAGUUGAUGCGUGCUGCAAGGCUAAGGGCUUGAAUGCCCGGAGCCGCAGGGAAACCGAGUGUUAAUAGCGCGAAUCAGUAGUACGUAUCAGACCCGAAGCCGGGUGAGCUUGCCAUGUGCAGGUUGAAAUACUUCGAAAGAAGUAUGGAGGACCGAACGCUAGAGACGUGCAAUACUCUGCGAUGACAUGUGGUACGGAGUGAUAAGCUCAUCGAACUCGGUAAUAGCUGGUUCUCUCCGAAAUAUGUUUAGGCAUAGCGUCGAUUGUUCCCUUGGGGGGUAGAGCACUGGAAGAUUCUGACAGGUCGAAAGAUCGCAGAACCUAUCAAACUCCGAAUACCCAAGGCUAAAGAUCGGCAGUAAGUCCGUGGGGGCUAAGCUCCACAGGACAAAAGGGAAACAGCCCUAAUCUCAAUUUAAGGUCCCAAAAUUCAUGCUAAGUACAAGCGAGGUGGUGGAUCUUCUCUGACGGUGAGGAUGUUGGCUUAGAAGCAGCCAUCAUUUAAAGAAAGCGUAACAGCUCACUCACUUAGAGGGUCUGCGCCGCAGAUGAUCGGGGUUAAAGCAUGGUACCGAAACUGAGGACUGCAUUUCGCUUCGGCGAGAUGCAUUGGUAGGAGAGUAUUCUACUCUGCGAUGAAGGCAAAGGGGUGACCCAUGCUGGAGCGUGUAGAAGUAAGAAUGUUGGCACAAGUAACCACAAUGCGGAUGAGAUAUCCGCACGUCGAAAGAUUAAGGUUUCCUUCGCAAUGGACUUCAGCGAAGGGUUAGUCGGGCCUAAGGGGAUGGCGAAAGCCGUACCUGAUGGACACACGGUUAAUAUUCCGUGACUUCUGGGUGGUGCGAUGGGAUGACGGAGCACAGUAUCUGUAGCCCCUUAUUGGAUUGGGGUUUCUAGCGUCAGGGCGAUUUCCAGGAAAAUCCGGAAGUCUGCGUUUAAUCGCGAGCCUAAGCGUAUGAGGGAAGGCAUAGCUUGCUAUGCGGAACUACAGAGAGCGGGCUUUCAAGAAAACUCUCUAAGCAUAACCAUUCAGGAACCGUACCGAAAACCGAAACAGGUGAUCAGCUCGAGUAGAGUAAGACGAACGAGUGAAGGUACUUCAAGGAACUCGGCAAAAAAGCAGCCGUAAGUUAGCGAUAAGGCUUGCCCUUCUUCGGAAGGGCCGCAGCUAAAGUAUGCCUGGCGACUGUUUAUCAAAAACACAGCUCCCUGCGAACUCGUAAGAGGAUGUAUAGGGGGUGACACUUGACCAAUGCCAGAAGGUCAACCAGCGGCGGUGCUAUGUAUUUAUAUAUAGUGCUGACUGCUGUAAGCCCUGGUGAAUGUCGGCGGUAACUAUAACCGUCCUAAGGUAGCGCAAUUCCUUGUCAGGUAAGUUCUGACGCGUUGAAUAGUGUAACGUCUGGGCAACUGUCUCGAAGUACAGCUCGGUGAAAAUACAAUCCCGGUGAAGAUGCCGGGUACCUGCAGUUAGACGAAAAGACCCUAGAAGCUUUACUACAGCUUGAUAUUGAGCAUACGAUUGCGAUGCGUAGCAUAGAUGGGAGGAUUUGAAGGACGCUUUCGGGCAGUCUGGAUCCGUCAGUGAAAUACCAUUCUUCGUCGUUGUAUGUUCUAACCCCGAGGGCAAAAACCGCGGGAGACAGUAUCUGGUGGGUAGUUUUAGUGGGGCGCUAUCCUCCUAAAAAGUAACGGAGGAGCCUAUUAAGGUCAGCUAGUCGCGGAUGGAAACCGUGACGAUAGUGUAUGGGCAUAAGCUGGCUUAACUGUAAGACGUACUUGUCGAGCAGAUGCGAAAGCAGAGCUAAGUGAACCGACGGAUCGCGUUAGAUGCGGCCGGAGAUUAUCGGACAAAAGCUACUCUAGGGAUAACAGGCUCGUUCCGCCUAAGAGUUCAUAUCGACGGCGGAGUUCGGCACCUUAACAAAUCGGGGUGCCAUGCGAGAAAUUGCAUGAGUCGUUUUACCAUACCGGGUGUAGGAGCCCGUGGGUAAAAUCAAAAAUUUGGCUUAUAACGGUGGACUCCAUAUAAAUCGAACAGGUUAUAUGGACAAUACCGUGGGAAGUCCAACGCGUACUUUUUGGUACAUGUUGUGACCCCGUAGAGACUUGCUCCCUUGCGGAGCGGAGUCGUCGCGCGGAGCGACGGCUAAGACGCCAACUCCUCUCGAAAGAGGGGAUGAAGAUAUAGUCCAAUCCUUCCGGUAACGGAAGACAGUGUUAGUUAAUGACAGCGAUGUCGGCUCGUCUUAUCCUGGGGCUGGAGAAGGUCCCAAGGGUUUGGCUGUUCGCCAAUUAAAAAGGCACGUGAGCUGGGUUCAGACCGUCGUGAGACAGGUUGGUCUCCUAUCUACUGCAGGCGUUGAUUCUUGAGGAGAUUUGCUUCUAGUACGAGAGGACCGAAGUGAACGGACCGCUGGUCUGCCUGCUGUCACGCCCGUGGCAAUGCAGGGUAGCUAUGUCCGGAACGGAUAACCACUGAAAGCAUCUAAGUGGGAAGCCGACUCCAAGAUAAGGAAUCGUUGAGAGCCCUAGAAGACUACUAGGUUGAUAGGCCUUAGGUGUACGCACAGCAAUGUGUUGAGCCGAGAGGUACUAAUUGCUCGAUCCUAUUAGGAA
RNAcentral lists this ribosomal RNA (3320 nucleotides) under bacterium. Its description in RNAcentral is "23S ribosomal RNA". It matches the Rfam family "Bacterial large subunit ribosomal RNA". The record is from RNAcentral.